GAGCGGUAGUUAAGUCGGUCUAUAACGCCGGCCUGUCACGCCGGAGGCCGAGGGUUCGAAUCCCUUCCGCUCC
RNAcentral lists this transfer RNA (73 nucleotides) under uncultured Mailhella sp. It matches the Rfam family "tRNA". From Rfam's summary of the family: Transfer RNA (tRNA) molecules are approximately 80 nucleotides in length. The record is from RNAcentral. Lineage: Bacteria; Pseudomonadati; Thermodesulfobacteriota; Desulfovibrionia; Desulfovibrionales; Desulfovibrionaceae.